AGGGUAUUUAUAGCCUGGAGCGUGAGGGGGCAAGGACACGCGCUUUAUUUCGGAAGUGAUAAUUCCAGCUCCAGUGUCCACCAGGCCCUCCUUGGAAGAAGCCACAAGUAAGCAUCAGGACACCCUUCACCUCAUGAAAAGCCACAGCAGAAGCCAACCAGGCUGUCUGGCCCAGGCAGCUGCCCGGCACUUCGGAGAAACUGAGGCUCAAACCACUCCAGAGAUGACAAGUCCUGUCACCUUCAGGGAGGCGGAGGCCAAAGACAAAACUUGAAGGUCAGAGUCCAAGGCUGCCAAGCUUCGCCCCUGGGAAAUAAAACUUAUCAAAAAUGCUA
RNAcentral lists this long non-coding RNA (335 nucleotides) under Homo sapiens (human). RNAcentral describes it as "HSALNT0290930". The record is from RNAcentral. Lineage: Eukaryota; Metazoa; Chordata; Mammalia; Primates; Hominidae.